Molecule: ribosomal RNA, 598 nt
Filed under: uncultured bacterium
Lineage: Bacteria
Description: bacterial SSU rRNA
Rfam family: Bacterial small subunit ribosomal RNA
Source: RNAcentral
ACAGGCACUCCGGAGACAAUCGGCAGACGGGUGAGUAACGCGUGGGUAACCUGCCCUGUACACACGGAUAACAUACCGAAAGGUAUGCUAAUACGAGAUAAUAUGCUUUUAUCGCAUGGUAGAAGUAUCAAAGCUUUUGCGGUACAGGAUGGACCCGCGUCUGAUUAGCUAGUUGGUAAGGUAACGGCUUACCAAGGCGACGAUCAGUAGCCGACCUGAGAGGGUGAUCGGCCACAUUGGAACUGAGACACGGUCCAAACUCCUACGGGAGGCAGCAGUGGGGAAUAUUGCACAAUGGGCGAAAGCCUGAUGCAGCAACGCCGCGUGAGCGAUGAAGGCCUUCGGGUCGUAAAGCUCUGUCCUCAAGGGAGAUAAUGACGGUACUUGAGGAGGAAGCCCCGGCUAACUACGUGCCAGCAGCCGCGGUAAUACGUAGGGGGCUAGCGUUAUCCGGAAUUACUGGGCGUAAAGGGUGCGUAGGUGGUUUCUUAAGUCAGAGGUGAAAGGCUACGGCUCAACCGUAGUAAGCCUUUGAAACUGGGAAACUUGAGUGCAGGAGAGGAGAGUGGAAUUCCUAGUGUAGCGGUGAAAUGCGUAG